RNAcentral lists this ribosomal RNA (497 nucleotides) under uncultured bacterium. RNAcentral's name for it is "partial 16S ribosomal RNA". It matches the Rfam family "Bacterial small subunit ribosomal RNA", at positions 28 to 507 of the family's 1533-position model. The record is from RNAcentral.
GACGGACGCUGGCGGCGUGCCUAAUACAUGCAAGUUGAGCGCUGAAGGUUGGUACUUGUACCAACUGGAUGAGCAGCGAACGGGUGAGUAACGCGUGGGGAAUCUGCCUUUGAGCGGGGGACAACAUUUGGAAACGAAUGCUAAUACCGCAUAAAAACUUUAAACACAAGUUUUAAGUUUGAAAGAUGCAAUUGCAUCACUCAAAGAUGAUCCCGCGUUGUAUUAGCUAGUUGGUGAGGUAAAGGCUCACCAAGGCGAUGAUACAUAGCCGACCUGGGAGGGUGAUCCGCCACAUUUGGAAUGAGACACGGCCCAAACUCCUACGGGAGGCAGCAGUAGGGAAUCUUCGGCAAUGGACGAAAGUCUGACCGAGCAACGCCGCGUGAGUGAAGAAGGGUUUCGGAUCGUAAAACUCUGUUGGUAGAGAAGAACGUUGGUGAGAGUGGAAAGCUCAUCAAGUGACGGUAACUACACAGAAAGAGACGGCUAACUACGUG